Molecule: ribosomal RNA, 253 nt
Filed under: uncultured bacterium
Lineage: Bacteria
Description: partial 16S ribosomal RNA
Rfam family: Bacterial small subunit ribosomal RNA
Source: RNAcentral
UACGGAGGAGGCAAGCGUUAUCCGGAAUUAUUGGGCGUAAAGCGUCCGCAGGUGGCACCUCAAGUCUGCUGUCAAAGACCGGGGCUUAACCCCAGAAAGGCAGUGGAAACUGAAGCGCUAGAGUGCAGUAGGGGUAGAGGGAAUUCCCGGUGUAGCGGUGAAAUGCGUAGAGAUCAGGAAGAACACCGGUGGCGAAAGCGCUCUGCUAGGCCGCAACUGACACUGAGGGACGAAAGCGUGGGGAGCAAACAGG